GUCUACGGCCAUGCCACCCUGAACAAGCCUGAUCCCGUCUGAUCUCGAUAGCUAAGCAGGGUCGGGCCUGGUUAGUACUUGGAUGGGAGACCGCCUAGGAAGACCAGGUGCUGUAGGCG
Molecule: ribosomal RNA, 119 nt
Filed under: Pteropus alecto (black flying fox)
Lineage: Eukaryota; Metazoa; Chordata; Mammalia; Chiroptera; Pteropodidae
Also listed under: 1 other name
Source: RNAcentral